GGAAACAAUAACCAGAGAGUUACUGGGUGUAGACAGGUCCUCGUUGUAGCACAGAAGCCAACCAGACCUAACAUCACCGGACCUGCCUCACCUGUAUCAGGUGAGAAUGUCACCCUGACAUGCUCCUCCUCCUCCCGGAGUCUACCCCUGGACCAUCCCCCACUGACCUUGACCUACAUCUGGAGGAGGAACAGGACCCGGGUAGAAUCUGGUGAUGUGUCUCCUACAGGUGGAGAUGACCUGACAAUAACCCACAUCAGCAGAGAGAACCAUGGAGACAUCUACAGCUGCCAGGCUGUGGAGGAGGGGCUGAAGUCUAACUGGAGUCACGGACAUGUACUGGAUGUUCUCUAUGGACCUGACAAGAUACAGUUUGACGGCACAAGUGACAAGCUGGAGGUAGAAGAAGGGAAACCUGCAGCUGUGAGAUGUUCUGCUGACUGUAACCCUGCCUGUACUGUAACCUGGUGGGACAUCUCCAGACAGACGGUGAUUACAGGA
This is a long non-coding RNA of Haliotis rubra (blacklip abalone), 501 nucleotides long. RefSeq lists it as uncharacterized. The transcript is spliced from 3 exons. NCBI's taxonomy places the organism in Eukaryota, Metazoa, Mollusca, Gastropoda, Lepetellida, Haliotidae. The record is from RefSeq and is a predicted model, not a curated record.